GACGAACCGUGCGAACGUUGUUCGGAUUCACUGGGCUUAAAGGGCGCGUAGGCGGCUUGUCAAGUCAGGGGUGAAAUCUUUCGGCUCAACCGGAAAAGUGCUUCUGAUACUGGCAGGCUGGAGGGAGGUAGGGGCAGAUGGAACUUCCGGUGGAGCGGUGAAAUGCGUAGAUAUCGGAAGGAACGCCGGUGGCGAAAGCGAUCUGCUGGACCUCUUCUGACGCUGAUGCGCGAAAGCCAGGGGAGCAAACAGG
This 253-nucleotide ribosomal RNA is filed under the name uncultured bacterium. RNAcentral describes it as "partial 16S ribosomal RNA". It matches the Rfam family "Bacterial small subunit ribosomal RNA", at positions 524 to 776 of the family's 1533-position model. The record is from RNAcentral.